RNAcentral lists this ribosomal RNA (253 nucleotides) under uncultured bacterium. RNAcentral describes it as "partial 16S ribosomal RNA". It matches the Rfam family "Bacterial small subunit ribosomal RNA", at positions 524 to 776 of the family's 1533-position model. The record is from RNAcentral.
UACGUAGGGGGCAAGCGUUGUCCGGAUUUAUUGGGCGUAAAGAGCGUGUAGGCGGCCAGAUAGGUCCGUUGUGAAAACUCGAGGCUCAACCUCGAGAUGUCGAUGGAAACCGUCUGGCUAGAGUCCGGAAGAGGAGUGUGGAAUUCCUGGUGUAGCGGUGAAAUGCGCAGAUAUCAGGAAGAACACCUAUGGCGAAGGCAGCACUCUGGGACGGUACUGACGCUGAGACGCGAAAGCGUGGGGAGCGAACAGG